RNAcentral lists this ribosomal RNA (795 nucleotides) under uncultured bacterium. RNAcentral describes it as "bacterial SSU rRNA". It matches the Rfam family "Bacterial small subunit ribosomal RNA", at positions 8 to 796 of the family's 1533-position model. The record is from RNAcentral.
AGAGUUUGAUCAUGGCUCAGAUUGAACGCUGGCGGCGUGCUUAACACAUGCAAGUCGAGCGGUAACAGGCGUAGCAAUACGUGCUGACGAGCGGCGAACGGGUGAGUAAUGCUUCGGAAUCUUCCUUUCGGUGGGGAAUAACCUGGGGAAACUCAGGCUAAUACCGCAUACGAACCACGGUUGAAAGCGGGGGAUCGCAAGACCUCGCGCCGAAAGAUGAGCCGAAGUCGGAUUAGCUAGUUGGUGGGGUAACGGCCCACCAAGGCGACGAUCCGUAGCUGGUCUGAGAGGACGACCAGCCACACUGGGACUGAGACACGGCCCAGACUCCUACGGGAGGCAGCAGUGGGGAAUAUUGGACAAUGGGCGCAAGCCUGAUCCAGCGACGCCGCGUGUGUGAAGAAGGCCUGCGGGUUGUAAAGCACUUUUAGUGGGGAUGAAAAGCCGAAGGCUAAUACCUUUCGGUCUUGACCUAACCCAAAGAAGAAGCACCGGCUAACUCUGUGCCAGCAGCCGCGGUAAUACAGAGGGUGCAAGCGUUAAUCGGAAUUACUGGGCGUAAAGCGUGCGUAGUCGGUUAUUCAAGUCGGGUGUGAAAGCCCCGGGCUCAACCUGGGAAUUGCAUUCGAUACUGUCUAGCUAGAGUUCGGCAGAGGGAAGUGGAAUUUCCGGUGUAGCGGUGAAAUGCGUAGAUAUCGGAAGGAACAUCAGUGGCGAAAGCGACUUCCUGGACCAGAACUGACGAUCAGGCACGAAAGCGUGGGGAGCAAACAGGAUUAGAUACCCUAGUAGUCC